Molecule: ribosomal RNA, 254 nt
Filed under: uncultured bacterium
Lineage: Bacteria
Description: partial 16S ribosomal RNA
Rfam family: Bacterial small subunit ribosomal RNA
Source: RNAcentral
CACGUAGGCACCAAGCGUUGUCCGGAUUUAUUGGGCGUAAAGCGCGCGUAGGUGGCCUCAUAAGUCCGCUGUAAAAGUCCAGGGCUCAACCCUGGAAAGCCGGUGGAUACUGUCGGGCUAGAGUCCGGAAGAGGCGAGUGGAAUUCCUGGUGUAGCGGUGAAAUGCGCAGAUAUCAGGAGGAACACCGAUGGCGAAGGCAGGUCUCUGGGCCACUACUGACGCUGAGAAGCGAAAGCAUGGGGGAGCGAACAGG